This 561-nucleotide ribosomal RNA is filed under the name Xylaria consociata. RNAcentral describes it as "eukaryotic LSU rRNA". It matches the Rfam family "Eukaryotic large subunit ribosomal RNA", at positions 62 to 648 of the family's 3401-position model. Lineage: Eukaryota; Fungi; Ascomycota; Sordariomycetes; Xylariales; Xylariaceae. The record is from RNAcentral.
AAACCACAGGGAUUGCCCUAGUAACGGCGAGUGAAGCGGCAACAGCUCAAAUUUGAAAUCUGGCCCUCGGGUCCGAGUUGUAAUUUGUAGAGGAUGCUUUUGGCGCGGUGCCUUCCGAGUUCCCUGGAACGGGACGCCUUAGAGGGUGAGAGCCCCGUACGGUUGGACACCAAGCCUCUGUAAAGCUCCUUCGACGAGUCGAGUAGUUUGGGAAUGCUGCUCUAAAUGGGAGGUAAAUUUCUUCUAAAGCUAAAUAUUGGCCAGAGACCGAUAGCGCACAAGUAGAGUGAUCGAAAGAUGAAAAGCACUUUGAAAAGAGGGUUAAAUAGCACGUGAAAUUGUUGAAAGGGAAGCGUUUGCGACCAGACUUUUUCCUAGCGGAUCAUCCGGUGUUAUCACCGGUGCACUUCGCUAGGUUAAGGCCAGCAUCGGUUUCUGUAGGGGGAUAAAAGCUUAGGGAAUGUAGCUCCCUCGGGAGUGUUAUAGCCCUUUGCAUAAUACCUUUACGGGGACCGAGGACCGCGCUUUUGCAAGGAUGCUGGCGUAAUGGUUGUCAACGAC